Molecule: long non-coding RNA, 2131 nt
Organism: Erpetoichthys calabaricus (reedfish)
Lineage: Eukaryota; Metazoa; Chordata; Cladistia; Polypteriformes; Polypteridae
Exons: 2
Source: RefSeq, a predicted model, not a curated record
GGUUAAUUCUAAACUGGCCGUAAUGGACUGUUGUCCUCUCCAGAGCUUAGGCCCUAGCUUUUGAGAGCUCAAACUCCAGCCAAUUUCACUCCAUUCUGUUUCCUAAUUAGGAUUUGAUUUAAGUUGUUAAUUAAACCUGUUAUUUAAUGCCAUGGCCCAUUGCUGCUGUCAUUCUUCCGCAGCACAGAUUUCCAAAACUGUUGUUUUUCUUUUUUUCUAAGAGCACCAUCAAAAUGUUUUGGUGACCUGAGCAGAUCAUCACUACUGAGACCUUCACCUUUCUUUAUUUUGUGACUGAUACAUGUUGCUGGUCAUGUGUUGGCUUAUUUUAUAUCUUAUUAUUGUUUUGCUGCUAAUUUCCUGUUAAUUAGCAGGAAAAAUGGGUCACUAAUUAAGAAAGCGGUUCAAACAAAAACCUGCAGCCACUGCGUCACUCCCCAGUCUGAGUGGGACACCCCUGUCUGUACAGACAAACAGUUGUGACUUUAGUGAUCAACCACCUGAUUAUCUUUAAUGGCCAGAACUUGCAUAUGGUAGAUGAAAUCUUGGUGCAUGGGUCAACAUUGUUACCUCACUAUCAAACUGCCCAUCUGGAAUUUGAACAUUGCCCCGUGGCGAGGCUGUGCAGGUUGAUAGCACUGAAAGAUUUCUUUUCAGAUCCACGCCAGCAAGAGGAGAAAUUAAAGGAAAUUUGAUUUUUAAUGGUCCACAUAAGUCAUCUUAGAUAAAAAAAAUGCGAUGUAAUCAUUAUCUCCCACAUAAAUAAUAUGACUAACAUUGCUUAAAUCAGGCUAUUUCUAUUAAAUUUAGCCAUAUUUUAUCCAUUAUAGUACAUUGAAAUUGAUUUGCGAUUAUGUAUGUAAACAUUGAUUACGUAAUAUUAAUUUGUUGUUUUGUUUUUAAAAUUAUAUGCAAGUGAUCUCAGUUGGUCUUCAGGGAAAAAAGCACUACACAAAAUAAUUGACUUGAAUAAUGCUGCAGUUUGCUUCCCUUCUCUUUUGUUGGCAAGACUUUAGCUUUUGGCAAAUGCUCUACAUCAGCAAUUUAUAAAUUUGUCUUCUGUUGACUUUCAGGGCUGCUUUACCACUUUUGCAUUUGGUUAUAAAGCAGCAGUCUGUUUUAUACACUUGUCUAUAUUCCACCUAUUAACCCUGCUUUGCAGAAUUAUUUAGUGUUGUAGUUUUUUUUUUUUUACAAUAUAUUGCUCACUAAGUAUUCUUUGCCAUAUACUGUGUCUUUUCAAAAUAAUAAAUCCCAGAAUAACUUGUGCAACAUAUUCAAUUUAUCUGAUUAAUAAUCUUUUUAUUUGUGUCAUAUGAGAACAUAAGCUCAAUACUGUAUAUUUUUGAAGAAUCAUUUUAUCCACAAUCUCCCAAAUAAGUUUCUGCUUUAGCUUUUCCAUACAUUGUGUACUGAUUUUCUCUUCAAAGAUAUUCUGAUGAUGAAAAUGCAUCAUGUCAUACAUUUUCAGUAAGUUUAUGUAUGUAGUUCACUAAAAGCCUGAGCAUUAUCUUUCCUUUUGACACAUUUUGUGCUACUUGCUUCAGUUUAAGAUGUUUGCUAGUUAUAUGGUGGUGUAAAAUGUAUUCUGGAAGGUCUUUGUUGGCCAUAAAUGGCACUACCUUUCUGCUACCUGUUCAGAAUGAAAGUGAGAAUUAAGGCAAUGACGCAAGUCUUUUAUAGCAUAUUAUUUUAAAAUUAUGUUUAGUGGUUUAUCUUGAACAUCAAGUAGAUAACCAAAGUGAAAUUGUCAUAAAGAACAUUAAAAUAUAAUAUAAGUGUACAGGAAAAGAAGCGUGUGAGUUUCUGAACACUCGUGCCUGGUUUCUUCAAUCUUUCUUGGCAUAUCAAGCAAUAAAAAAAUAUGACUUAAGAUCCACUAGGCUGUUGCAUUUGCAAUAAUAAGACAAAGACUAAUGAGACAGUGGCUAAAAUAAACUGUGAACAUAAUGAAGCAAAGGUGUAAGAGACAUUUUAUUUAUUAACAGAUAAAACCACUUUGAAAGCCACAUGAAAAACAUGCUUCACACAUCAUUCCAAGGUGGGGGUACAUCCUUUUUCAGCCUUGAAAUCAGAUACCAGCUACUGUUGAAAUUAUUGUAAUACAUACAGUAUAUAAAUAAGAUUAAUA